RNAcentral lists this transfer RNA (77 nucleotides) under Bacillus halotolerans. Its description in RNAcentral is "tRNA-Met". It matches the Rfam family "tRNA". Rfam says of the family: Transfer RNA (tRNA) molecules are approximately 80 nucleotides in length. Their secondary structure includes four short double-helical elements and three loops (D, anti-codon, and T loops). The record is from RNAcentral. Lineage: Bacteria; Bacillati; Bacillota; Bacilli; Caryophanales; Bacillaceae.
CGCGGGGUGGAGCAGUUCGGUGGCUCGUCGGGCUCAUAACCCGAAGGUCGCAGGUUCAAAUCCUGCCCCCGCAACCA